RNAcentral lists this ribosomal RNA (313 nucleotides) under uncultured Helotiales. Its description in RNAcentral is "partial large subunit ribosomal RNA". It matches the Rfam family "Eukaryotic large subunit ribosomal RNA", at positions 40 to 350 of the family's 3401-position model. The record is from RNAcentral. Lineage: Eukaryota; Fungi; Ascomycota; Leotiomycetes; Helotiales.
AUAUCAAUAGGCGGAGGAAAAGAAACCAACAGGGAUUGCCUCAGUAACGGCGAGUGAAGCGGCAACAGCUCAAAUUUGAAAUCUGGCCCCCUCGGGGUCCGAGUUGUAAUUUGUAGAGGGUGCUUCGGUGGAAGCUCCGGCCCAAGUCCCUUGGAACAGGACGUCAGAGAGGGUGGGAAUCCCGUACGUGACUGGGUGCUUUCGCUCGUGUAAAGCUCUUUCGACGAGUCGAGUUGUUUGGGAAUGCAGCUCAAAAUGGGUGGUAAAUUUCAUCUAAAGCUAAAUAUUGGCCAGAGACCGAUAGCGCAAAGUA